CGGGGUGUAGCGCAGUCUGGUAGCGCGCCUGCUUUGGGAGCAGGAUGUCGGGAGUUCGAAUCUCUCCACCCCGA
Molecule: transfer RNA, 74 nt
Organism: Legionella adelaidensis
Lineage: Bacteria; Pseudomonadati; Pseudomonadota; Gammaproteobacteria; Legionellales; Legionellaceae
Rfam family: tRNA
About the family: Transfer RNA (tRNA) molecules are approximately 80 nucleotides in length.
Source: Rfam